ACAGACAGCAGCCCCCGGCCUCCGGUGCUUCGCUGCCUCGACAUGCCGCCGAAAAUCAAGACUUUCAGUGGACGUUCAUAUUAUGUCCGGGAGAUUGACCUCGUCGACGGCUUCAUCGUCUACAUCGAGUUGCAGAUACGUGACCUUGCGCCAGACACACCUACAGAUGAAUAUGUUUGGAUGGCCAGCACAUGCAAAUUCAAGAUCGACUCAUCUUUGCCGUUUUCAUCUAUCCAAUGGCAGCGGGGAUGCAAGUUAGGCUCCUCUGAGGUCAACAAAUCCAUGCGUGAUAAGCUUAAACUUCGUGAUGCCGAAACAAUCUGCAAGAUAGGCCUGCCCGUCCUGAGCCUUCAUGAGGAUGGCAUUGUUUACAUCCUCACCACCCUUUUCCGCGAGAAGAGGCACACCAAGUCAUGGGUGCUUGCCAUUGACAUGAAAAAGAAGAUGGUGCAGGAGCUGGACGAGUUCGAGAACAACCGAAAAGUCUACUUAUUCGGGGGCUUCUUGAUUCCAACUAGGAUCACCAAAUAUCUCCAACUUGAUCCAGGUAAUUCAAAGUCCCUGUUGCCUAACCAGCUGUCGUUAGGAACUGGUAUUGUUUAUUCUUGGGGUUUAAUUUCAGAUUUUAAACGAGGACCCACCGGGGAAGGUCCUGAUUGAGCUAGAGUUCACUUAUAGUCUCUACAUUGUUAUUAUACCUUUUCUUUCUUCUCCAUAGGGAUAGGUAAAGUAAGGGUUACUAGUUAGAAGCCCGUGCGUUGCUACGGAACAAAAAAAAGUUCAACAGACAAUAAAUAUGGUCCUACGUAUAAACAAAAUCAUUUAGUCCCUCUAGUCUGAUCAAGAUUACCAUCUCCUUACUAAGCUUCUAAUUUUUUUUAAAUUUCCUAUAUGUACGUAGCACUGUUUCGAUAGUUGUGUAAUGACUGAUGAAAUGGACAAAACCCAAACUGCUAUUCGGGGCCUAUAUUCUUGGGAUGGUUUACACUUAAUAGUGGCACCUACAUAUAUAUACUCAAAAGUGUUACAUCUAUGCUACUAUUAUAUUGUUAGCCCCCAUCUUUGUAUUAAACUUUUAAAUCUCCUUCCUGAUAUAUACUUGGCCCUACCUUUGAUCUAGUUAAUCAUAUGAUGGCAUCCUAUCCUAAAAAUCCAGAUUUUCUCCAAAGUAUUAUGUAAAUCAGGUAACAGAGGUAAAGAAUCUGAAACUGAACAAGGACCAAUUUAUAAUAAACUGAUGUUCCCCUUUUCCCCUCCCAACAUUUCUUCACAACCAUGCAUCAGAUCAGCACAGAAGUAAAUCAGUAAUCAUUUUUAUUCAAAAAAUUUGUGCCAUGCCGUACAACAUUUCACCUAAUUGGUUGGGAUGUCUUAAACUGAUUAGAGAUGGAUUUUGGUCACCUAAGCUCCCUGAAUUUUCCUUUUUGAUGCCAUGAAGUACAAGGUUUCACCUGAUUGGCUGGGGAUGUCUUAAACUGAUUGGAGAUGGAUUUUGGUCGCCUAAGCUCCCUGAAAUUUCUCCCCUUGGGAUCUGGUAGUCUAAACAAUAACCUAGGUCCUUGCAAAUUUCUCCCCUUGGGAUUUUGGUCUUCUAGGUUCCAUAGGGAUAGGCAGAGUAAGGGUUAUUUGGGGCUGCCUGCUACGGACUAGUUGUUUAGGAAUCAUUUUCUUUUGCUAAACUAAAGACAUGUUUUUUGUACUGUAGAUACAACAAAGCAAAACCACAAGCGACAAAAGAUGAUGCUGCAACGACACUCGUGCGUGGACCUGCCCGGAGUCUCCAUUGAGUCCCAUUCAGAUAUGGAGUUAGAUGAUGAUGAGGAGGAGGAAGAAGAAGAGGAGGAAGACAAUGAGCCAUCCCUGCCAGAGCCAGAAGCACAAACCCCAGAGGAGCUAGCACUUGAAUUGGCAUGCAAGCCGUGGCUUCUUAACUUAGAGGAGUUGGUACUGGAGAAGUCAGGCAAGUCGUGGAACGAGAUACUCCAAAGCCGAGGCAGUGCAGUUCCCGUUUCGGAGGGAGAAGUGGAGGACGUGGAGGAGGCGAGCAAGAAGCCACGGACAUAUGAUUGGAUUGUCUGAUGCCUUUUGGCUGCUUGACAUUUGUGCACACUUAGAUUAUCCUGUGUCUUUUGUUUAGUAAGAGUAUGCUAACGGAUUCACUUGGGUGUCGCUUAAGAUUAAUGUUAGCUAUGGGGUCUCAUCACUAGCACCUGUUUUGAACUCUGCGUGUCAUCUGCUUGUCAGUUGUUCGUGCUUUGUCAUUGCUCAAACCUGGUGGAUUAGGUUUUAUUCAGCCUUGUUCAUUUCCUGAAAUUAUGACCAACUCAUUAAGCCUGAAAUUUAAUCCUUUGUUUGUGCAGAAUUUUCUGCUGCAAUCAAGAUAUUCGAUAGAAAAUAAACAUACUACCCGCAUGAUUGUUACUGUUGUGCUAUUCUGAUAACUAGUGGCUGGGGCGCGCCUCCUAGGGCGGUACUGAGUGCACUGACAACACUUUUCAGAAAACUCUCCGCGAAUAGAAGGAUCAACCAUCUUUGACAGAGAAUCAAAGUCAUGAAGCUGACAAUCGGCCCAUCUAACAAAAUGUUGCUCAACACGCGGGCGAGAACUGCAUAUUUCAACAAAAAUGUAGGCACAUGAGGAAGUACAUUCACAUUUUUGUGAAGAUGUGUGAUCUAAAACAGUUACAGAGAAGGUCCUGAUUAAGCACUGCGAAUUACAUCGAAUCACUCACCUGUCAUAUGGUUUACGGCCAGCGAGAAGUUCUAGCAUUACCACAACCAAAACGGUGAACAUCACUUCGAUACGGUGGAACGGUUUUGGUGUGCCUCUGUUGGAAGGAACGACCAACAAAACAAAGGAAUGUUGAGGACUCUUGCCCAGGUUUGAUUUCUGCUCAUUCUUACAGUUUAGUUUCUCCACAUCUUUUAGGAUUCUUGCCUAGGUUUGAUGAUACCAUGGAAAUUUUGGCCGACUAAAUUUUAUUUUUAGCCGUGCACAAACUAUUUCAUGUAAUUUUUGUGCACAAAAUGGAUAUUCGGAGAAAAUGAUUAUUCUUCUUUUUACUAAUCACCCCUGUUUGAUCAUAGCUUAACGAAUUUCCCUUUUUUGUAGAAGUAUAGCCAGCUACAAAAUGCUGAUGCAAAUGAUAUCCAUGGACCUUCACAAGCUCGUCCUAUAUUUUAUUUUUCAAGUUUGUAAUUGUUUUCAUUUUGGAAAAAGUUCAUCUUUGGCCGAAAUGCCAAACAGACUCAACUUUCAGAAUGUCCCAAUCUGGCCCCUCAACUUUCCGUUUGCUCUGCAAUCAACUAAAUUAUGCAAUGGUGCAAUCGAACAUAUUUGAGCCAUCCGAUGUGCAUCCUCUGGCAAUGACUCACGCACGGAGCUCCCACCUUUUUUUUUUGCAGGUGAAGCUCCCACCUCUGGUUGGAUACAUCUUUGCAAACACCACCCCGCGAUCAGCCUUCAUUUUUCAAAAACGCCCCUGGAAACAAUGACCUCCCCCGAUCUUCUUCUCUCAAUAGAUGGAUCUCAGUUUUGGCGAUCCUCGCUGCUAUUGCUGCCGGCCGGCCAGCCACAAGUUUCCCGGAAAUAAUCCCCAUAUCAGAACGAGAACACAUGGAGUACUCGUUCAUAUUGUUCGAAUGAACGCGUUCAUUUUCAAUGUCCAUUGGAAGUUGAGCAUCCCCACCACUAGGUCCACUACUAAUCAAAAACAUUUCUCAACAAGUGAACCGACAGGGCCAUAACCUUGCUGAAAUGUCUCUAACAAACCACCAUUCUAUCUGAUUCCUACUCAGAUCGAGUACUUGUGAUUGUGACCACCUGGGAUGAAUGAAACAUAAAGGAAGCCAACAAGACACCGAUUAGCUCUAUCUGUAGAAAAGGAAUGUUUCGUAUAAGCUAUAUAUCUUGAGGAAUAUGGAAUGCCCAAAAUAAAUGCCACGAACCUUGUUGACUUUAUUUUAUUUUUACAUAAUGGAAAAGGAUUCAUUACCAUAGUUUCCAACUUUCCAUAAGAAACAAGCACUGCUAAAUGCUGAUUAACAUGUCAGUACUAACACGCUGUGGUAAAUGCAGUUGUCGUAGCCCAACUUCAACACUAUAUACUAAUAACACAUAAUAAUAGUAUAGUCUGUGCCCAGAGCUAGUUGAGGGAGGGAUUGUCAGCCUGCAAUAUGCAGAUGAUACUUUUUUUCCCAGAAUGAAUUCGCCCGACACGACGAAUCCCGCCCCCCAUGUCUUUCUUUCUCAUUGAAUGAACCACUGCAUGGGACGCCCUAUGCCUAUGAAUUCAAUGAUUUAAGGGCCCUGGGGGGAAACUUCGGAAAGAAAGCCUACUGGUUGGUCUGGUUGUCCCCCCGACGGUGCCCGGGCGGUCCUCGGUUCAAUCUUGCCGAUUCUACCUAGACAUGGCUCAAAACGAAAGGGUAAGGCCAAGUGUUCUUAAAACAAAACUCUCGGUGCACACUCCGGAGCACGGUCUUCUGCUUUUUGUGGCAGAUGGCACUAGGAAAGCCACCAACCUUAAGUGGAUCCUCACCUGUUUUGAGCAGUCAUCGGGGACGAGAAUAAACUAUCACAAGAGUGAGCUCAUUGCAGUUGGCAUGGAAGAUGUAGAGAUUAGACCUUUUAUUGACAUUUUCUAAUGUGCAGAGGGGCAUUUCCCCGGUAAGUAUUUGGGGAUUCCCUUGCACUUUGAGAGCUUAAAAAGAGCUGACUUGCAAUCUGUGGUAGACAAAUUGAUGAAUAUGAUUGCUGGCUGAAGGGGGAAAUUGUUGUCAAGUGGGGGUAGACUUGCUUUGAUCAAAACUGAACAAAUCCAACGUGCAACAUGAUAUGAAUCCGUAUCUAACACUAACAUCACCCGAGAUGAAAAAUCAAACUCGGUUUACGACCUAGUGAAUACGACUAGACUACAAACUAAACUGUAUACUGACAUGCGGACCCAGCCCCACCGGUCAGUGACUCGCUGGUCGGCUCUGCUCCUCGAUGAACACUUCCUCAGGUCAGCCCCUGCACAGGCCAUCGGGUACCGCGACACAUACGAUGGAUGGGUCUUGGGCACAUACGGUAGAUGGGUCUUGGGCUCUUGGCAAACUGCCCUGAGGGCCACCGAGCCCAGAGCAGGGGCCCGACCAAUUUUCCUAGCCACCCCCCGCCUGUGGCCCAUUUUCUCUCCUCAGUCCCCAAUCCUCACUUUCGCUCUCCAUAGGGGGGAACCCGGCCGGACUGCCGGCGCAAAUCCGAUCUCGAUUCCAGUUCCGAUUCCACAAAAAUCAAAUCGAGUCUAGGCUGUAGAGGAACUUGAGAUGAAGGAUCUCAAGUUCCGAUUCCUUCCGCCGCAUUACGACUCCGGCGACGCAAGGCCAUGCUUUUCGCUGCUAGAAAAGCACGCCUACCUCGUCCGCCGCCAAAACGCCACAACCGCCGCCCUCGACCUCGACAGCGGACGGAUCCAGGCCACCUUCUGCGCCGCCCACCCGCCACGCGCAUCCUACUUGUGCAUCCAUGCCACCGGCUUGGGUCGCACUAAGCUCCGCGCCGAGCCCCAGAUCUUGGCCACGGAGGGGGCCCUCGCCGUCAUCCGCGUCGUCGUCAACCGUCGCAAGUCGUUCGUGGAGGUGGAGUACUUCGUCUACCACGCCGGCAGCAGCUCCUCCGAGGGACGCCGGCCGCCGUCGCUCAAGCGCAUCCCGAACCCCGCACCCUACUUUUUCUUCAACGAAAAUACGGUUGCCAUCGUGCGCCACUGCCCUCGUCAAGCCAGCACCCGGCGUCGCCCCGGCGGCCUCAGUGCCUGCGCCCUGCGCCCCAACCGACGAGACAGCAAGGAGGAGGAGGAUCAUGACUGCGGCGACUGCAACUACAUCAUCGCGGCACUCCGCAACGACGAUUCCAACACCAGGGCACCCUACCAGCUCUGCCGGUACCACUCCAAGACUGAAACUUGGAGCCCUCCCGAGCCAAUGGAAACCGAGUGGGAGCACGGACCUUACCCUUCCGGUUCCUCCUGCAAGGCCAUUACCAUCGGAGGAGAGCAAGGCACAGUGGCCUGGGUCGCUCUGAACAAGGGCGGCAGGGGUAUCAUCUUUUGCGACGUGCUCACAAUAACAGACAGCAGCCCCCGGCCUCCGGUGCUUCGCUGCCUCGACAUGCCGCCGAAAAUCAAAACUUUCAGUGGACGUUCAUAUUAUGUCCGGGAGAUUGACCUCGUCGACGGCUUCAUCGUCUACAUCGAGUUGCAGAUACGUGACCUUGCGCCAGACACACCUACAGAUGAAUAUGUUUGGAUGGCCAGCACAUGGAAAUUCAAGAUCGACUCAUCUUUGCCGUUUUCAUCUAUCCAAUGGCAGCGGGGAUGCAAGUUAGGCUCCUCUGAGAUCAACAAAUCCAUGCGUGAUAAGCUUAAA
RNAcentral lists this long non-coding RNA (6411 nucleotides) under Brachypodium distachyon (stiff brome). RNAcentral describes it as "long non-coding RNA (BDIS_LNC004173)". Lineage: Eukaryota; Viridiplantae; Streptophyta; Magnoliopsida; Poales; Poaceae. The record is from RNAcentral.